This 207-nucleotide ribosomal RNA is filed under the name uncultured bacterium. Its description in RNAcentral is "partial 16S ribosomal RNA". It matches the Rfam family "Bacterial small subunit ribosomal RNA", at positions 568 to 774 of the family's 1533-position model. The record is from RNAcentral.
AGUGUAGGUGGCCAUGCAAGUCAGAAGUGAAAAUCCGGGGCUCAACCCCGGAACUGCUUUUGAAACUGUAAGGCUGGAGUGCAGGAGGGGUGAGUGGAAUUCCUAGUGUAGCGGUGAAAUGCGUAGAUAUUAGGAGGAACACCAGUAGCGAAGGCGGCUUUCUGGACUGUAACUGACACUGAGGCACGAAAGCGUGGGGAGCAAACA